RNAcentral lists this long non-coding RNA (229 nucleotides) under Elaeis guineensis (African oil palm). RNAcentral describes it as "long non-coding RNA (EGUI_LNC071169)". The record is from RNAcentral. Lineage: Eukaryota; Viridiplantae; Streptophyta; Magnoliopsida; Arecales; Arecaceae.
AGUGCAGCUCCGCCCGGACUCCUUCGGGAGCCGGGCUCCACCGCCAUCAGCAAGUGCAGCUCCGCCCGGACUCCUACGGGAGUCGGGCUCCACCGCCAUCAGCAAGAACAGCUCCGCCCGGACUCCUACGGGAGCCGGGCUCCGCUCUCAAUAUCAAUUGCUGGUAAGCUCAAUCCGGACUCCUAUCAGGGCUGGACUUCACCCUUGACUUUGUUUGCAGUGCAGCUCC